GAGUUUGAUCCUGGCUCAGGACGAACGCUGGCGGCGUGCCUAACACAUGCAAGUCGAGCGAGGAGAUUCCCUUCGGGGAUGAACCUAGCGGCGGACGGGUGAGUAACACGUGGGCAACCUGCCUUAUAGAGGGGAAUAGCCUUCCGAAAGGAAGAUUAAUACCGCAUAACAUUACAUUUUCGCAUGAAGAAGUAAUUAAAGGAGUAAUCCGCUAUAAGAUGGGCCCGCGGCGCAUUAGCUAGUUGGUGAGGUAACGGCUCACCAAGGCGACGAUGCGUAGCCGACCUGAGAGGGUGAUCGGCCACAUUGGGACUGAGACACGGCCCAGACUCCUACGGGAGGCAGCAGUGGGGAAUAUUGCACAAUGGGGGAAACCCUGAUGCAGCUACGCCGCGUGAGUGAUGAAGGUCUUCGGAUCGUAAAGCUCUGUCUUCAGGGACGAUAAUGACGGUACCUGAGGAGGAAGCCACGGCUAACUACGUGCCAGCAGCCGCGGUAAUAC
RNAcentral lists this ribosomal RNA (502 nucleotides) under uncultured bacterium. RNAcentral describes it as "bacterial SSU rRNA". It matches the Rfam family "Bacterial small subunit ribosomal RNA", at positions 9 to 526 of the family's 1533-position model. The record is from RNAcentral.